This 428-nucleotide ribosomal RNA is filed under the name uncultured phototrophic eukaryote. Its description in RNAcentral is "bacterial SSU rRNA". It matches the Rfam family "Bacterial small subunit ribosomal RNA", at positions 372 to 815 of the family's 1533-position model. The record is from RNAcentral.
UGGGCGAAAGCCUGACGGAGCAAUACCGCGUGAGGGAUGAAGGAUUUUGGUCUGUAAACCUCUUUUCUCAAGAAAGAAGUUCUGACGGUACUUGAGGAAUAAGCAUSGGCUAACUCCGUGCCAGCAGCCGCGGUAAUACGGGGGAUGCAAGCGUUAUCCGGAAUCAUUGGGCGUAAAGCGCCUGUAGGUUGUUUAGUAAGUCUGUUGUUAAAGACCAGGGCUUAACCCUGGGAAAGCAAUGGAAACUACUACACUUGAGUAUGGCAGGGGUAGAGGGAAUUUCUAGUGUAGCGGUGAAAUGCGUAGAUAUUAGAAAGAACACCGGCGGCGAAAGCGCUCUACUGGACCAUUACUGACACUCAGAGGCGAAAGCUAGGGGAGCAAAAGGGAUUAGAUACCCCUGUAGUCCUAGCCGUAAACGAUGGAUA